CAGCAGCCGCGGGAAUACGUAGGGCGCAAGCGUUGUCCGGAAUUAUUGGGCGUAAAGAGCUCGUAGGCGGUCUGUCGCGUCUGGUGUGAAAUCCCGAGGCUCAACCUCGGGCUUGCAUCGGGUACGGGCAGACUAGAGUGCGGUAGGGGAGACUGGAAUUCCUGGUGUAGCGGUGGAAUGCGCAGAUAUCAGGAGGAACACCGAUGGCGAAGGCAGGUCUCUGGGCCGCAACUGACGCUGAGGAGCGAAAGCAUGGGGAGCGAACAGGAUUAGAUACCCGUGUAGUCCCUGUCUCUUAUAC
RNAcentral lists this ribosomal RNA (301 nucleotides) under uncultured bacterium. RNAcentral's name for it is "partial 16S ribosomal RNA". It matches the Rfam family "Bacterial small subunit ribosomal RNA", at positions 509 to 807 of the family's 1533-position model. The record is from RNAcentral.